This 768-nucleotide long non-coding RNA is filed under the name Ictidomys tridecemlineatus (thirteen-lined ground squirrel). RNAcentral's name for it is "lncRNA (ENSSTOG00000030747.1)". The record is from RNAcentral. Lineage: Eukaryota; Metazoa; Chordata; Mammalia; Rodentia; Sciuridae.
UUUGAGCCCACAUCUCUGCUGAUAAUUGUCAGUGUGAGUUCAAGCAGUACAACAGCCUCCAGGCAGGCAGUUACUAACAGACUAUUGCUAUUAUUCCCAUUGUACAGAUGAGAAACUGAGGCUCAGAAGUCAAAAUGCCUAGAAGUGGCUGAGGUGCAACUUAAACCCAGUACUGACCCCGAUUGCCAAGUCAGGCUCUGUCCCACUCUCAAGAUCCCCACUGUCUAGUAACUGAGUCACUAAGUGAACUCAGGAGAGAAAGGUCCCUGUGCUGAGAGCAGUCAGGGGAGAUUUUCUGGAAGAGGUGAAGAGAAGCUCACAAGCUGCCUGAGAGUUAAAAGCCAUUUCCUUCAGGAGAGGGCCAGGGCUGGGGGGAGCUGUUGCAGACUUUGGUUGACCAGGGGCAGCUGAAACUGGGAGAAGGACGCAUUGCUAUCCACAGAUGGAUUAAGGCCAGGACAGAAGGAGCCCAGGGCUUGUGGCAGCCCAGAAGAGAGAGUCUUUGCAGAUUGAGAUCAGAAAUGACUUCCUAGAGGAGGUAACACUUUAGAAGAAGAAGAGCAGGAAGAACAUGAGCAAAAGUGGAGAGACAGGACCAACCUGUCACAUCUGGGGACCUACAGGGAGUUUGGUAGAAGUUGGAGGCUGAUGGGGGAAGGGGCCAUGGGGGUGCAGAGGUGGGAUGACAGAGUACCCCGCCAGCAUUUUGAAUAGUAAGUGAAUGAAAGUUAUUGUUUUUAAAAAAGUUUUAUUUUAGAAAAUUUCAAA